This 400-nucleotide ribosomal RNA is filed under the name uncultured bacterium. RNAcentral's name for it is "bacterial SSU rRNA". It matches the Rfam family "Bacterial small subunit ribosomal RNA", at positions 355 to 773 of the family's 1533-position model. The record is from RNAcentral.
UGGGGAAUAUUGCGCAAUGGGCGAAAGCCUGACGCAGCGACGCCGCGUGAGUGACGACGUUCUUCGGAAUGUAAAACUCUGUCAGUGGGGACGAUUAUGACGGUACCCACAAAGGAAGCCCCGGCUAACUACGUGCCAGCAGCCGCGGUAAUACGUAGGGGGCGAGCGUUAUCCGGAUUUAUUGGGCAUAAAGAGCGUGUAGGCGGCAGUUUAAGUCAAUCGUAAAAUUCUUCGGCUCAACCGAGGCAUGCGAUUGAUACUGGAUUGCUAGAGAUUGGGAGAGGAAAGCGGAACUCACGGUGUAGCGGUGAAAUGCGUAGAUAUCGUGAGGAACACCAGUUGCGAAGGCGGCUUUCUGGACCAAAUCUGACGCUAAAGCGCGAAAGCGUGGGGAGCGAAC